CUACUGCUGCCACUGCUACUACUACUACUACUACCACCACCACCAUUACCACUGCUGCUGCUACUGCUACUACUACUACUACUACCACUACCACCAUUACCACUGCUGCUACUGCUGCUACUGCUACUACUACUACCACCAUUACCACUGCUGCUACUGCUGCUACUGCUACUACUACCACUACUACUACUACUACUACUACCACCAUUACCACUGCUGCUGCUACUGCUACUACUACUACUACUACUACUACCACCAUUACCACUGCUGCUGCUACUACUACUACUACUACUACUACUACCACCAUUACCACUGCUGCUGCUACUACUACUACUACUACUACUACUACUACCACUACUACUACUACUACUACUACCACCAUUACCACUGCUGCUACUGCUGCUACUACUACUACUACUACUACUACCACCACCACCAUUACCACUGCUGCUGCUACUGCUACUACUACUACCACUACUACUACUACUACUACUACCACCAUUACCACUGCUGCUGCUACUGCUACUACUACUACUACUACUACUACUACCACCAUUACCACUGCUACUGCUACUACUACUACUACUACUACUGCUACUACCACCAUUACCGCUGCUGCUGCUGCUACUACUACUACUACUACUACUGCUAUUACUACUACUACUACUACUACUACUACUACUACUACCACCAUUACCACUGCUGCUACUGCAACUACUACUACCACCAUUACCACUGCUGCUACUGCUGCUACUGCUACUACUACUACUGCUACUACUACUACUACUGCUAUUACUGCUACUACUACUACUACUACUACCACCAUUACCACUGCUGCUGCUGCUACUACUACUACUACUACUACUACUACUACCACCAUUACCACUGCUGCUGCUACUGCUGCUACUACUACUACUACCAUUACCACUGCUGCUGCUACUGCUACUACUACUACUACCACUACUACUACCACUACUACUACUACUACCACUACUACUACUACCACUACUACUACUACUACUACUACUACCAUUACCACUGCUGCUGCUACUGCUGCUGCUGCUACUACUACUACUACUACUACUACUACUACCACUACUACUACCACCAUUUCCACUGCUGCUGCUGCUCCUCCUCCUACUACUACUACUACUACUACUACUACUACCACCACCAUUACCACUGCUACUACUACUACUACCACCACCACCAUUACCACUGCUGCUACUACUACUACUACUACCACCACCACCAUUACCACUGCUGCUACUACUACUACUGCUACUACUACUACUGCUGCUACUACUACUACUACUACUGCUACUGCUGCUACAGUAAUACUACUACCACUACUGCUUCUGCUGCUACUACUGCAGUCACUACUACUAGUGCUGCUGUUGCUGUUACUACAGUUACUGCUACAGGUAUUACUGUAACGACUACUACUACCAAUACAGACUACUACUAUGUUUCUACUGCCCUUACCAGACUGCCUCAGAGCCUCCUGAACCAAAGCAUCAAUCAAUCUUCAACACAUCCUUUUCUCCUCAGCUCCAUGCUACCACCUUCAUCAUCAUAUUUUGUGAACUGGGACAUUUGCAAUGGGAUUUGUUUUGCCUUUUUGAACAAGGAGGUAGAAUCAAUGUGAGCAUGACUUUACAUUUGUGUUGUAUGUGUUCCUGAAUGCUACAUGUUCCUGCUUGCCAGUGUGUGUGUGUGUGUGUGUGUGUGUGUGUGUGUGUGUGUGUGUGUGUGUGUGUGUGUGUGUGUGUGUGUGUGUGUGCAUUCCUGCAUGCCAGCUUGUGUGUGUAUAUGUGUGGUGAAAUCGGUAUGCUGGUCGGGAGGGCUGUGUUGUUUUGUAUGCUGGUCGGGAGGGCUGUGUUGUUUUGGAUGCUGGUCGGGAGGGCUGUGUUGUUUUGUAUGCUGGUCGGGAGGGCUGUGUUGUUUUGGAUGCUGGUCGGGAGGGCUGUGUUGUUUUGUAUGCUGGUCGGGAGGGCUGUGUUGUUUUGGAUGCUGGUCGGGAGGGCUGUGUUGUUUUGGAUGCUGGUCGGGAGGGCUGUGUUGUUUUGGAUGCUGGUCGGGAGGGCUGUGUUGUUUUGGAUGCUGGUCGGGAGGGCUGUGUUGUUUUGGAUGCUGGUCGGGAGGGCUGUGUUGUUUUGGAUGCUGGUCGGGAGGGCUGUGUUGUUUUGGAUGCUGGUCGGGAGGGCUGUGUUGUUUUGGAGGUUGAUAGAGGGACUGAUAGACGGUUGAUAGACUGAUAGAGGGGCUAAUAGACGGUUGAUAGAGGGGCUGAUAGACGGUUGAUAGAGGGGCUAAUAGACGGUUGAUAGAGGGGCUAAUAGAUGGUUGAUAGAGGGGCUAAUAGAUGGUUGAUAGAGGGGCUAAUAGACGGUUGAUAGAGGGGCUGAUAGACGGUUGAUAGAGGGGCUAAUAGACGGUUGAUAGAGGGGCUGAUAGACGGUUGAUAGAGGGGCUAAUAGACGGUUGAUAGAGGGGCUGAUAGACGGUUGAUAGAGGGGCUGAUAGACGGUUGAUAGAGGGGCUGAUAGACGGUUGAUAGAGGGACUGAUAGAUGGUUGAUAGAGGGGCUGAUAGAUGGUUGAUAGAGGGGCUGAUAGAUGGUUGAUAGAGGGGCUGAUAGACGGUUGAUAGAGGGGCUAAUAGAUGGUUGAUAGAGGGGCUGAUAGACGGUUGAUAGAGGGGCUAAUAGACGGUUGAUAGAGGGGCUGAUAGACGGUUGAUAGAGGGGCUGAUAGACGGUUGAUAGAGGGGCUGAUAGACGGUUGAUAGAGGGACUGAUAGAUGGUUGAUAGAGGGGCUGAUAGAUGGUUGAUAGAGGGGCUGAUAGACGGUUGAUAGAGGGGCUGAUAGACGGUUGAUAAAGGGCUGAUGGAGGGGUUGAUAGAUGCUUGAUAGAGGGGCUGAUAGAUGCUUGAUAGAGGGGCUGAUAGAUGGUUGAUAGAGGGGCUGAUGGAGGGGCUGAUAGACAGCUGAUAGAGGGGCUGAUAGAGAGGAUGUCUUAGGGACCAGAUGUUGGAGCAACCUUAAGUGCAGUAAUUAGAAGAGGCAGCAGGAUCAGGUGCAAAACAGUUUCCAGUUUAUUAACAGUGAAAGGUGGUUCCCGGUGAAUGACAAAAUCCAUUCAAUAUUUACAUAAUCUAUAAAGGUAUUUACAAAAUGGUAUUUACACCCUCUCCAGAGGGUGGUGCGGUCUGCACAUCGCAUCACCGGGGGAAAACUACCUGCCCUCCAAGACACCUACAGCACCCGAUGUCACAGGAAGGCCAAAAAGAUCAUCAAUGACAUCAACCAUCUGAGCCACUGCCUGUUCGCACCACUACAAUCCAGAAGGAGAGACAACAUCUCUCUGUGUACCAUUACUUCUGUCUCCCCC
RNAcentral lists this long non-coding RNA (3394 nucleotides) under Salmo salar (Atlantic salmon). Its description in RNAcentral is "lncRNA (ENSSSAG00000121793.1)". The record is from RNAcentral. Lineage: Eukaryota; Metazoa; Chordata; Actinopteri; Salmoniformes; Salmonidae.